UCCUGCUCUCAGACCCGUUCAAGAGCUCAACGAUAAAAAUGGCUUCUACUCUCGGAGCUGCUCGCCACCGUCAAAGCGGGCGGUCGAUAGCUAUUGGUGGCCAAGGUGGGGCUUACGCUUGACGUGUCUACUUAAUCCAUGCUCCGUACGAUCUAAUGUCUUAUAUUCCCAUCCUCGCUUGGGCCUUUUGUUUCUUCGUGAUUGUGCGUGUGCGACGGCCAUGGUUGAAUACCCAAGCGUGUAC
RNAcentral lists this long non-coding RNA (244 nucleotides) under Elaeis guineensis (African oil palm). Its description in RNAcentral is "long non-coding RNA (EGUI_LNC023629)". Lineage: Eukaryota; Viridiplantae; Streptophyta; Magnoliopsida; Arecales; Arecaceae. The record is from RNAcentral.